RNAcentral lists this antisense RNA (75 nucleotides) under Saccharothrix sp. ALI-22-I. RNAcentral's name for it is "ASpks TB sRNA". It matches the Rfam family "ASpks TB sRNA". The record is from Rfam by way of RNAcentral. Lineage: Bacteria; Bacillati; Actinomycetota; Actinomycetes; Pseudonocardiales; Pseudonocardiaceae.
CUUGAGCGAACCGAGCCACAGCGGCUGUUCCUCCGCACGAUUCCGGCCGUAGGCGGCCAUCAGGGCUUGGACCUC